GCAGGAGCAGGAGCAGGACUACAGCGAGAUAUAGUAGAGGAGCCAGGAGAGGAGCUAUCACAAGGAUGGCCGGGCCGCAAGUCCAGCACAGUCAGCGACCGAACAGCGCCUACUACACGGGCCUCAAUGGCAGUGGAACUAGUGGCGCCUCCGCCUCCGCUUCCGCCAGUGGCAUGGCCACCAGUGCCUCCCACACCGGACUCCAUGCCCUGCGGCAGGUGAGCAACGAAACGGAGCUCAUCUAUCGGGGAAGUCACAGCAAUGGAACGGUCAACGAGCUGCCCUCCACCGCCCACCACCUGCUCACAGGACGACUGCCCCAACAGAAGCCGCAACAGCAGCAGACGCAGCAGCUGCCACCGAGGCAACAAGUGAGCAGUAUAGCCGGCACCGGAUCGAGUGCCACAGAUGCCCUGAUCAAUACCAUUACCUCCGGAGGAGGAGGAGGAGGUGGCACUGGAGGAGGUGGCACUCCGUCGGGGGCAGGCACUAGCAGCACCGCUCUGGGCCUCAAAAAAUCAAACACACAGCGCAGCAUCGAAAUCAUUGUGGAUGCCAGCCAGUGCGGCAAGGAGCUGGCCACCACCACCAACAAUGCCGGGGGCAGUGCCACCGCCCUGGAUGCCGGUGACGAUGUGGAACAGGGCGGUGGGGGGCAGGAGUCCUCCUCCUCGCAUAGGAAGUCCUCGAGGCAUCGCCAUCGACCCCUGCACCGCCGACUCAUCAGCUACCUGAGGAAUCUCUUCCAGGGCAGCACCACCCAGAAUGAUUCAGAACUAGAGGAGUUUGAAACACCGGCCAGGUACAGGCCCGACUCGCUAAGCGCCCUCAGUCGAGCCACCCGAUUCACCGAGGACGAGAUCAAACGAAUUUAUAGAGGAUUCAAGGCCGAGUGCCCAACUGGCGUCGUCAAGGAGGACACCUUCAAAGUGAUCUACUCACAGUUCUUCCCACAGGGAGCCAAUCCAACCCUAUACGCACACUAUGUAUUUAAUACACUGGAUCAGGAUCACAGCGGCAUUGUCAGCUUCGAGGACUUUGUCCAAGGACUCUCGAUACUUUCGCGCGGCUCGGUGGAGGAGAAGCUGCGCUGGACCUUCUCGCUGUACGACAUCAACGGCGAUGGCUUCAUUACGAGGGAGGAAAUGACUGACAUUGUGACUGCCAUAUACGAGCUGAUGGGCCGCCUGCCGGACGAGUGUCCCGAGGAGGAGAAGAUCAAGGGCAAGGUGGAGCAGAUCUUUCAGAAAAUGGACAUCAAUCGGGAUGGAGUGGUGACCCUGGAGGAGUUCCUGGAGGCAUGUCGCAACGAUGACGCCAUUUCCGGGUCGAUGUCAGUGUUCGACACAGCGUUCUGACCAUAUCCGACCGACAAGGGCGACGAGUACACGGUGCGCCGUCGACGACGCAGUGGCAGUCGCUCCCAGAAUCCUCGACAGGAUCAGCAGUUCAAGGAUCCGGAAAAACAGCUUGUUUACCUGAGGAGUAGCAUGGUUGCUAUUAUAAGACACUAGCGAGUCACUAGAGCUGAAGAGGCCCAUAGAAUACUAAUCUCUUACUUACAAUAUGGAGUAAAAUCAUAUGUGAAGCAGCUCCAGAGAAUUUGAAAAACGAGGGGAAGUCGGAUUUAUAUAGAAACAGGGCCAACAUUUUGCGGCAGAAUACAACAGACUAUUAAAUCACGAAAGGUCCUAUCAUUGGUCAUGUUGUAGCUGUCUUCAGCUCCAAAAAAGAUGCAAAACCUGUUCUUUCGAGAUAUGAGCAUUAGCAGACAAUGAUGCAAGUUGUUUUAAGACCAUGAUGAAAAAAUUCUCCGCUUGGAUAACAUAUAUUAUAUGUUAUUCUCAUCAUUUAUA
Molecule: unclassified non-coding RNA, 1856 nt
Filed under: Drosophila ananassae
Lineage: Eukaryota; Metazoa; Arthropoda; Insecta; Diptera; Drosophilidae
Description: GF22357
Source: RNAcentral